AUUGACUAUCGAUGUUUGUUGAUGACGCCUUGCAUGGUGUUGCAUUGCAAUCUUCUUAUAAUUUAAACAAUAUGAUGCUUAGUUGAAAGAGUGGUCGUGUGUAAGAGCCUAUAUUAUUUAUUCAGAAAAAUUCAAGAAAGUAUUUAAAUAGAUAGCAAAUCAAUAAGUAUCGCGGCUAUCAUCGCAUCUUGCGGAUUUUUCGUUUUGCGCCUAACAUCUCUAUUUCUAAUGUUUUGUGUCAAAACAAGCUAAUUCGGGCAUAAGAACCAUAACUUCUGCAUGUUUGGAAAUUCAGAAAAGCGGCACAAGGUGAGCAAUGGACGAAAUGUGCAGAGUUUGCAAGGGAACGUCUGAAUCAUUCACAAACAUAUUCGACGAGCCACAAAAAUGGGACACUUGCAUUGCUGACAUGAUAGCUCAGUGCACCGGGUACGAGGUUAGCCGAGGAGAUUUACUAUCAGAAAAUAUAUGUCCGCCCUGCCUUGAGGAGGCAGUAAGUGCAUUCAAUCUUAAGACAACCUGCGAGCAGAGCUAUAAAUUGAUGGAGGAGUCUAAAGGAGUAGAAAUCUUUUAUAUUGUGGAAUACGAGGACUGGGAACCUUCAGAUUGCAGAAGCGAGCAGUCAAACAAUAUUGAGACCGACGGAAAGGCAAAAGGUGGCCCUAAAUUCAAAUGUCCUCUUUGUCCAAAGAGCUUUGCGAAACGGUAUCUACCUCAACAUGUGAAACUACACACGGGUGGACGACCCUAUAAAUGCUCCCAGUGCUCAAAGUCCUUCCACUUUAGUUUCCAUCUGAGUGAACACAUCCUUUCACACACACCCUUUAAAUGUAAAUACUGCUCACAGUCAUAUGAACGUGCCACUUCUCUUAGAAAACACAUAAAAAUGUCUCACGCGUAGAAUGAUAGUUACAAAACAAAAACCUAUGUACACACAUAUGUUUAAGUAAAUGUAUUUUCCUAUUCAA
This is a long non-coding RNA of Drosophila subobscura, 968 nucleotides long. RefSeq lists it as uncharacterized. The record is from RefSeq and is a predicted model, not a curated record. Lineage: Eukaryota; Metazoa; Arthropoda; Insecta; Diptera; Drosophilidae. The transcript has 2 exons.